Molecule: ribosomal RNA, 483 nt
Filed under: uncultured bacterium
Lineage: Bacteria
Description: partial 16S ribosomal RNA
Rfam family: Bacterial small subunit ribosomal RNA
Source: RNAcentral
GACGAACGCUGGCGGCGUGCUUAACACAUGCAAGUCGAACGCUGAAGCUCAGCUUUUGUUGGGUGGAUGAGUGGCGAACGGGUGAGUAACACGUGAGUAACCUGCCCCCUUCUUUGGGAUAACGCCCGGAAACGGGUGCUAAUACUGGAUAUUCACUGGUCUUCGCAUGGGGGUUGGUGGAAAGGGUUUUUCUGGUGGGGGAUGGGCUCGCGGCCUAUCAGCUUGUUGGUGGGGUGAUGGCCUACCAAGGCUUUGACGGGUAGCCGGCCUGAGAGGGUGACCGGUCACAUUGGGACUGAGAUACGGCCCAGACUCCUACGGGAGGCAGCAGUGGGGAAUAUUGCACAAUGGGCGCAAGCCUGAUGCAGCGACGCCGCGUGUGGGAUGGAGGCCUUCGGGUUGUGAACCUCUUUCGCUCAUGGUCAAGCCGCAACAAUGGUUGUGGUGAGGGUAGUGGGUAAAGAAGCGCCGGCUAACUACGUG